GAUGAAGAACGCAGCGAAAUGCGAUAAGUAAUGUGAAUUGCAGAAUCCAGUGAAUCAUCGAAUCUUUGAACGCACAUUGCGCCCGCCAGCAUUCUGGCGGGCAUGCCUGUUCGAGCGUCAUUUCAACCCUCGACCUCCCUCUGGGGAAGUCCGUGUUGGGGACCGGCAGCACACCGCCGGCCCUGAAAUGGAGUGGCGGCCCGUCCGCGGCGACCUCUGCGUAGUAAACCAACUCGCACCGGAACCCCGACGUGGCCACGCCGUAAAACACCCAACUUCUGAACGUUGACCUCGAAUCAGGUAGGACUACCCGCUGAACUUAAGCAUAUCAAUAAGCGGAGGA
This 343-nucleotide unclassified non-coding RNA is filed under the name soil metagenome. RNAcentral describes it as "partial contains 5.8S ribosomal RNA, internal transcribed spacer 2, and large subunit ribosomal RNA". The stretch from base 1 to 120 matches the Rfam family "5.8S ribosomal RNA", at positions 35 to 154 of the family's 154-position model. The record is from RNAcentral.